UUGUGCCUUGUGGUCUUCGUUUCUGAAUUGUGACGCAUUUAUAUAAAGCAAACUAUUGAUAUUUUUGAAGUACCCUAUUUAUUUUCAACAUGUAUCGACGAUCUAUUGGUGAUAUGGCAGAUUCGGGUAAAGAAAAGAAGGAAGCUACCGAGUCAGUUGUUUUCAAUGUGGGAUUGUUUUUUGUGACUUGCUUCCUGAUAAGAGUUGCUCGUUAUUCUCUCGACUACGUUCCAGCAAAAUCAUAGAAACGAUGCCAUUGUUACCAGCAUUUUUCAUUUUGUUAGUUCAAUUACCACUGUACAUAAUAUUUCUUAAAAAUGAAUAAUAAAUAAAUAUUAUGAGUUAUUAAGUUGAA
This is a long non-coding RNA of Nilaparvata lugens (brown planthopper), 355 nucleotides long. RefSeq lists it as uncharacterized. Lineage: Eukaryota; Metazoa; Arthropoda; Insecta; Hemiptera; Delphacidae. The transcript is spliced from 2 exons. The record is from RefSeq and is a predicted model, not a curated record.